GAUGAACGCUGGCGGCGUGCUUAACACAUGCAAGUCGAACGGAAAGGCCACAGCUUGCUGUGGUACUCGAGUGGCGAACGGGUGAGUAACACGUGGGUGAUCUGCCCUGUACUUCGGGAUAAGCUUGGGAAACUGGGUCUAAUACCGGAUAGGAAYCACAUGUGGGUGKGKGGUUGGAAAGCUUUUGCGGUAUGGGAUGAGCUCGCGGCCUAUCAGCUUGUUGGUGGGGUAAUGGCCUACCAAGGCGUCGACGGGUAGCCGGCCUGAGAGGGUGUACGGCCACAUUGGGACUGAGAUACGGCCCAGACUCCUACGGGAGGCAGCAGUGGGGAAUAUUGCACAAUGGGCGCAAGCCUGAUGCAGCGACGCCGCGUGGGGGAUGACGGCCUUCGGGUUGUAAACUCCUUUCGUCAGGGACGAAGCGAAAGUGACGGUACCUGGAUAAGAAGCACCGGCUAACUACGUGCCAGCAGCCGCGGUAAUACGUAGGGUGCGAGCGUUGUCCGGAAUUACUGGGCGUAAAGAGCUCGUA
Molecule: ribosomal RNA, 532 nt
Filed under: Corynebacterium sanguinis
Lineage: Bacteria; Bacillati; Actinomycetota; Actinomycetes; Mycobacteriales; Corynebacteriaceae
Description: bacterial SSU rRNA
Rfam family: Bacterial small subunit ribosomal RNA
Source: RNAcentral